Molecule: ribosomal RNA, 516 nt
Filed under: uncultured Cephalotheca
Lineage: Eukaryota; Fungi; Ascomycota; Sordariomycetes; Cephalothecales; Cephalothecaceae
Description: eukaryotic LSU rRNA
Rfam family: Eukaryotic large subunit ribosomal RNA
Source: RNAcentral
ACGGCGAGUGAAGCGGCAACAGCUCGAAUUUGAAAUCUGGCCUCGGCCCGAGUUGUAAUCUGUAGAGGAUGCUUUUGGCGCGGUGCCUUCCGAGUGCCCUGGAACGGGACGCCACAGAGGGUGAGAGCCCCGUAUGGUCGGACACCAAGCCUGUGUAAAGCUCCUUCGACGAGUCGGGUAGCUUGGGAAUGCUGCUCUAAGUGGGAGGUAAACUUCUUCUAAAGCUAAAUACUGGCCAGAGACCGAUAGCGCACAAGUAGAGUGAUCGAAAGAUGAAAAGCACUUUGAAAAGAGGGUCAAAUAGUACGUGAAAUUGUUGAAAGGGAAGCGCUCAUGACCAGACUUGCGCCGGGCUGAUCAUCCAGUGGUCUCCACUGGUGCACUCUGCCCGGCUCAGGCCAGCGUCGGCUGUCACGGGGGGACAAAAGCACUGGGAAAGUAGCUCUCUCCGGGGAGUGUUAUAGCCCUAUGCAGAAUACCCCCGCGGCGGCCGAGGUCCGCGCUCUGCAAGGACGC